RNAcentral lists this long non-coding RNA (782 nucleotides) under Helianthus annuus (common sunflower). Its description in RNAcentral is "hypothetical non coding rna". Lineage: Eukaryota; Viridiplantae; Streptophyta; Magnoliopsida; Asterales; Asteraceae. The record is from RNAcentral.
UGUCACUAAAAACUUAUAGCCAACCAGAAAAUCACACAACUUUUUGACUUGAUUGUUCUUUGUUUUAUCACACUAAUAAUCUUAAAGCCAAAUUGAUCACAAGUACAUUUCAACGCCGAAGGCUACAUGUUGUAAGAAGUUUGUUUUUCAACAACAAAUUUCUUUUAAUCCUUGUCGUCUGUGAGACUUAAACCUAAAACCCCCUCCCAAACCUAGGUAUUGGUUGAAAUUUCUUGAACAACGUUGUGGCAAUGAGUCGGGUGCAGCUUAAUUUGCCAUGGUGAGCAAGUGUUUUCUGUUGAUGAUAACAUAAAAUUCACCUGUAGAGAAAUUCAGAUAGUAUCUAACCAUGAAUCAAAAUCAUCAAGUGGUUCAGAUUUGGGGACUUGUUGAGUCUGUGACGCAUUUCUCUGAUGAAGCAGAGGUGGAGUAGAAGUUUCCUUGAGCAAGUCGUCAAGUGUUCCAUCGAUAUCAAAAUCUACCGUGGAGCUCAAGGUAGAUGACGCCUUCUCCUUCAAGUUAACAUCGUCAAAAGAAUCAAGCAGCAUAUCAAGUUCAAGUUCAGCUUUAGGUUUUGACUCGUUUGCACUACAACUUGCAACUGUGAGAUGGUGCGCCCUUGGGUUCACGUGGGUGUUGCUCUUGGUGGCGGUGGAUGGUGCGAGGUCAUACGCUUGAUACCUGCACGGGAGGGAACAAAUCUGCCUCCAUGAAAAGCCUUUUUGGUAGAUCCAUCUUUGCGAGUUGGUUUGCCAGAGCAUGCAUAUUCAGCGAGAGAAAUG